CCUACGGGAGGCAGCAGUAGGGAAUAUUGCACAAUGGAGGAAACUCUGAUGCAGCGAUGCCGCGUGAGUGAAGAAGGCCUUUGGGUUGUAAAGCUCUUUCGUCGGGGAAGAAAAUGACUGUACCCGAAUAAGAAGGUCCGGCUAACUUCGUGCCAGCAGCCGCGGUAAUACGAAGGGACCUAGCGUAGUUCGGAAUUACUGGGCUUAAAGAGUUCGUAGGUGGUUAAAAAAGUUGGUGGUGAAAUCCCAGAGCUUAACUCUGGAACUGCCAUCAAAACUUUUUAGCUAGAGUAUGAUAGAGGAAAGCAGAAUUUCUAGUGUAGAGGUGAAAUUCGUAGAUAUUAGAAAGAAUACCAAUUGCGAAGGCAGCUUUCUGGAUCAUUACUGACACUGAGGAACGAAAGCAUGGGUAGCGAAGAGGAUUAGAUACCCUCGUAGUCCAUGCCGUAAACGAUGUGUGUUAGACGUUGGAAAUUUAUUUUCAGUGUCGCAGCGAAAGCAUUAAACACACCGCCUGGGGAGUACGACCGCAAGGUUAAAACUCAAAUGAAUUGACGG
Molecule: ribosomal RNA, 558 nt
Filed under: uncultured bacterium
Lineage: Bacteria
Description: bacterial SSU rRNA
Rfam family: Bacterial small subunit ribosomal RNA
Source: RNAcentral